Unclassified non-coding RNA from Bison bison bison, 262 nucleotides. The record is from Ensembl. NCBI's taxonomy places the organism in Eukaryota, Metazoa, Chordata, Mammalia, Artiodactyla, Bovidae.
GGAAAGACAGGUUUAUUGUUUCCCAGACAUUGUCGAGAGGGGUCACACAAACUUAGACAUUUCUUCCUUUGAUGUCCACUUGACAUGGCUGUGUGAGAAAGUGAGAUGUCUCUGAGGUGGCUACCAGAUCCCUUUAUGGAUUUCUGUGAUGUCAUUCAUUGAUCCCUCUACACUGGGCAACUCUUUGGAACAUCACCACAUUCUUCCGAUUCUACUGGAGGUCCACUGGUCAUUUAGGGAGAAUCUUCUGAGCUACAGCAAA